UGGGGAAUUUUGGACAAUGGGCGAAAGCCUGAUCCAGCAAUGCCGCGUGUGUGAAGAAGGCCUUCGGGUUGUAAAGCACUUUUGUCCGGAAAGAAAUGGCUCUGGUUAAUACCUGGGGUCGAUGACGGUACCGGAAGAAUAAGGACCGGCUAACUACGUGCCAGCAGCCGCGGUAAUACGUAGGGUCCAAGCGUUAAUCGGAAUUACUGGGCGUAAAGCGUGCGCAGGCGGUUGUGCAAGACCGAUGUGAAAUCCCCGAGCUUAACUUGGGAAUUGCAUUGGUGACUGCACGGCUAGAGUGUGUCAGAGGGGGGUAGAAUUCCACGUGUAGCAGUGAAAUGCGUAGAGAUGUGGAGGAAUACCGAUGGCGAAGGCAGCCCCCUGGGAUAACACUGACGCUCAUGCACGAAAGCGUGGGGAGCAAACAGGAUUAGAUACCCUGGUAGUCCACGCCCUAAAACGAUGUCAACUAGUUGUUGGGGAUUCAUUUCCUUAGUAACGUAGCUAACGCGUGAAGUUGACCGCCUGGGGAGUACGGUCGCAAGAUUAAAAGCUCAAAAUGAAUUGAC
This 569-nucleotide ribosomal RNA is filed under the name uncultured bacterium. RNAcentral's name for it is "partial 16S ribosomal RNA". It matches the Rfam family "Bacterial small subunit ribosomal RNA", at positions 355 to 914 of the family's 1533-position model. The record is from RNAcentral.